UAGGGAAUCUUCGGCAAUGGACGAAAGUCUGACCGAGCAACGCCGCGUGAGUGAAGAAGGUUUUCGGAUCGUAAAACUCUGUUGUUAGAGAAGAACAAGGACGUUAGUAACUGAACGUCCCCUGACGGUAUCUAACCAGAAAGCCACGGCUAACUACGUGCCAGCAGCCGCGGUAAUACGUAGGUGGCAAGCGGUGUUCGGAUUUAUUGGGCGUAAAGCGAGCGCAGGCGGUUUCUUCAGUCUUAUGUGAAAGCCCCCGGAUCAACCGGGGAGGGUUAUUGGAAACUGGGCGACGUGAGUGCAGAAGAGGAGAGUGGAAUUCCAUGUGUAGCGGUGAAAUGCGUAGAUAUAUGGAGGAACCCCAGUGGCGAAGGCGGCUCUCUGGUCUGUAACUGACGCUGAGGCUCGAAAGCGUGGGGAGCAAACAGG
This 429-nucleotide ribosomal RNA is filed under the name Gemmatimonadota bacterium. RNAcentral describes it as "Gemmatimonadetes bacterium partial 16S ribosomal RNA". It matches the Rfam family "Bacterial small subunit ribosomal RNA", at positions 355 to 776 of the family's 1533-position model. The record is from RNAcentral. Lineage: Bacteria; Pseudomonadati; Gemmatimonadota.